GCUUUUUAGGGGAUCAGAGAUCUUGAAGGAAGUUGCAUGGGUCAUCUUUGAUGAAAUUCAUUAUAUGAAGGAUCGUGAAAGAGGUGUUGUNNAUUAUAUUUUUGCCACCAGAAAUAAAGAUGGUUUUCCUUUCUGCAACAAUGUCAAAUGCCACAGAAUUUGCAGAGUGGAUUUGUCAUUUGCACAAGCAGCCANNNNACGUUGUAUACACAGAUUUUCGACCAACUCCUUUGCAGCAUUAUGUUUUUCCCAUGGGCGG
This 259-nucleotide unclassified non-coding RNA is filed under the name Hevea brasiliensis (rubber tree). Lineage: Eukaryota; Viridiplantae; Streptophyta; Magnoliopsida; Malpighiales; Euphorbiaceae. The record is from RNAcentral.